This 506-nucleotide ribosomal RNA is filed under the name uncultured bacterium. RNAcentral's name for it is "partial 16S ribosomal RNA". It matches the Rfam family "Bacterial small subunit ribosomal RNA", at positions 30 to 523 of the family's 1533-position model. The record is from RNAcentral.
AUUGAACGCUUGCGGCAGGCCUAACACAUGCAAGUCGAACGGUCCCCUUAAACAGCUUGCUGUUUCUCUUCCCAUGGGUGGACGGGUGAGUAAUGUCUGGGAAACUGCCUGAUGGAGGUUUUGAACUACUGGAAACGGUAGCUAAUUUUUGUGAACGUCGCAAGACCAAAGAGGGGUCCUUGCGGGCCUCUUGCCAUCGGAUGUGCCCAGAUGGGAUUAGCUAGUAGGUGGGGUAACGGCUCACCUAGGCGACGAUCCCUAGCUGGUCUGAGAGGAUGACCAGCCACACUGGAACUGAGACACGGUCCAGACUCCUACGGGAGGCAGCAGUGGGGAAUAUUGCACAAUGGGCGCAAGCCUGAUGCAGCCAUGCCGCGUGUAUGAAGAAGGCCUUCGGGUUACACAGUACUUUCAGCGGGGAGGAAGGGAGUAAAGUCAAUACCUUUGCUCAUUGACGUUACCCGCAGAAGAAGCACCGGCUAACUCCGAACCAGCCGCCGCGGUAA